RNAcentral lists this ribosomal RNA (379 nucleotides) under Chaetoceros curvisetus. RNAcentral describes it as "partial Eukaryotic large subunit ribosomal RNA". It matches the Rfam family "Eukaryotic large subunit ribosomal RNA", at positions 11 to 385 of the family's 3401-position model. Lineage: Eukaryota; Bacillariophyta; Thalassiosirophyceae; Chaetocerotales; Chaetocerotaceae. The record is from RNAcentral.
UCAGGCGGGACUACCCGCUGAGUUUAAGCAUAUCAAUAAGCGGAGGAAAAGAAACUAACAAGGAUUCCCCUAGUAAUGGCGAAUGAAGCGGGAACAGCUCAAAUUUGAAAUCUCUGCAGCCUCUGCAGCGAAUUGUAGUUUAGAGAAGCGCGUUCGGGCACGGGCGGGGAGCAAGUCUGCUGGAAGGCAGCAUCACAGAGGGUGAGAAUCCCGUCUGCGGCCCCGCCGUCGUGUCCACUGUGACGCGUUUUCCAAGAGUCAGGUAGUUCGGGAUUGCUGCCUAAAGCGGGUGGUAAAUACCAUCUAAAGCUAAAUACUGGCGAGAGACCGAUAGCGAACAAGUACCGUGAGGGAAAGAUGAAAAGAACUUUGGAAAGAG